This is a long non-coding RNA of Caretta caretta (loggerhead turtle), 1095 nucleotides long. RefSeq lists it as uncharacterized. NCBI's taxonomy places the organism in Eukaryota, Metazoa, Chordata, Testudines, Cheloniidae. The record is from RefSeq and is a predicted model, not a curated record.
GAGAGAUUACGACUGGAACUGCUUGAAUUCAACAUGACUGAGUUCAAAGCAGUGUUCGGGGAGAAGAGACCUCCCUAAAUCCUGAGGUUUUCCUACUUCAGCGUGGUCUGCACAGGAGGUGGUGGAUCUCGCUGCUGUGUGGGGAUAAGAGUCUGUGCAGGCAGAGCUCCGAUCCAGCAGAAGAAACGCUGACAUCUAUGCAGAUCACUCGUGGAAUGGGGGAGAAGGGCUACACGAGGGACACACAACAGUGCUGUGUGAAAAUAAAAACUUCACCAAGCGUACCAGAAGGCAAGGGAGGCAAACAGUCGUUCUGGUGCUGAACCCCACACAUGCUGGUUCUACAACAAGCUGUAUGGGAUUCUCGGGGGUGAUGCUACCAGCACCCCCACAAGCAACGUGGACACCUCAGAGGUGGAUGAUAUGGUGGAUGAGGAAGAGGAGGGGGAGGAGAAUGGGAGACAGGCGAGUGGUGGAACCAUUCUCCCCUGUGGGUCACAGGGCAUCAUGGUGGCCGACCGUGAUACCGGGGAAGGCACCUCUGCUGGAAAUGUGUCCUUCGACAUGUCAUCCACACCUGAAAGCAGACUUUCGCUGAUUAGAAGGAGAAACAGAACGCAGGAGGACAGAUAAUGAACACCUCCGGGACAGCUGACACAGAGCUGAGAGCAUGGAGGAUUUCACUGUCUGAGAAGUUAGACAUGGAGAGCAGGAAAGCUUCCAAUGAGCAAGAGUGUUUGGCGCAGGAUGAGAUGCUUUGGAUUAUGAGGGACCAAGCAGUCAUGUUGAGGCGUCUGGUUGAAUUGCAGGAACAGAAACAGGAGGGUAGAGUCCCUCUGCAGACCCUGGUGGACAGCCUGCCAGCAUCGCCUGGCGCAGCAUCACCCUCCCCUAAGUGUUCCAUGAGACAUGGGUGAAAAGUCCAUUGUCUCUUUCGCUUUUUGGGGGUAGGGGAGUGGGAGGGUAUAAGGAACAGAAGGUGCCCGUUCACAGAGCUCUGAUAACACCACAUUCCAGAUUAUGUUACACCGCUGAAAAUGUUUCUCCUAUUCCAACUUUACAAUCCCUUUUCCCCAAAGGGACCUUUUCCUUCUG